This 196-nucleotide ribosomal RNA is filed under the name Vibrio sp. OPT18. Its description in RNAcentral is "partial 16S ribosomal RNA". It matches the Rfam family "Bacterial small subunit ribosomal RNA", at positions 1 to 180 of the family's 1533-position model. The record is from RNAcentral. Lineage: Bacteria; Pseudomonadati; Pseudomonadota; Gammaproteobacteria; Vibrionales; Vibrionaceae.
AAAUUGAAGAGUUUGAUCAUGGCUCAGAUUGAACGCUGGCGGCAGGCCUAACACAUGCAAGUCGAGCGGAAACGACAUUAACAAUCCUUCGGGUGCGCUAAUGGGCGUCGAGCGGCGGACGGGUGAGUAAUGCCUAGGAAAUUGCCUUGAUGUGGGGGAUAACCAUUGGAAACGAUGGCUAAUACCGCAUAAUGCC